GAAGCGGCAAAAGCUCAAAUUUGAAAUCUAGCACUUUCAGUGUUCGAGUUGUAAUUUGAAGAAGGUAUCUUUGGAGUUGGCCCCCGUCUAUGUUCCUUGGAACAGGACGUCACAGAGGGUGAGAAUCCCGUGCGAUGGGGAGACCAAUUCUAUGUAAAGUUCCUUCGAAGAGUCGAGUUGUUUGGGAAUGCAGCUCUAAGUGGGUGGUAAAUUCCAUCUAAAGCUAAAUAUUGGCGAGAGACCGAUAGCGAACAAGUACAGUGAUGGAAAGAUGAAAAGAACUUUGAAAAGAGAGUGAAAAAGUACGUGAAAUUGUUGAAAGGGAAGGGCUUUUGAUCAGACUUGGUGUUUAGUACUCUCUGCUCCUUGUGGGUGGGGCUCUUGCUUUAUACUGGGCCAGCAUCGGUUUGGAUGGUAGGAUAAUAGCAUUGGAAUGUGGCUUCAUUCGUGGAGUGUUAUAGCCUUUGUUGAUACUACCUAUCUAGACCGAGGACUGCGUCUUUGACUAGGAUGCUGGCGUAAUGAUUAAAAGCCGCCCGUCUUG
Molecule: ribosomal RNA, 544 nt
Filed under: Nakazawaea sp.
Lineage: Eukaryota; Fungi; Ascomycota; Pichiomycetes; Alaninales; Pachysolenaceae
Description: partial large subunit ribosomal RNA
Rfam family: Eukaryotic large subunit ribosomal RNA
Source: RNAcentral